AAGUCGUAACAAGGUUUCCGUAGGUGAACCUGCGGAAGGAUCACUAAAGUAAACGCCCUCCGGGGCUCUCUUUAAUUCACACACCCCUGUGCACUUUGGCCAUGCCUCGCCGCGCUUUACUGCGUUAGUAGGUGUGUCUUUUAACUAUACUACUAUAUACACAAGUCAUUGAAUGUAAAUCGUUAAUAAACUGAUAUAA
Molecule: unclassified non-coding RNA, 199 nt
Filed under: plant metagenome
Description: partial contains small subunit ribosomal RNA and internal transcribed spacer 1
Rfam family: Eukaryotic small subunit ribosomal RNA (bases 1-46)
Source: RNAcentral